This 97-nucleotide signal recognition particle RNA is filed under the name Glaciibacter psychrotolerans. RNAcentral describes it as "Leifsonia sp. LI1 Bacterial small signal recognition particle RNA". It matches the Rfam family "Bacterial small signal recognition particle RNA". From Rfam's summary of the family: The signal recognition particle (SRP) is a universally conserved ribonucleoprotein involved in the co-translational targeting of proteins to membranes. Lineage: Bacteria; Bacillati; Actinomycetota; Actinomycetes; Micrococcales; Microbacteriaceae. The record is from Rfam by way of RNAcentral.
AACGGCUCCUCGUGUGGUGUCAUCCAGGCCAACUCCCCCAGGACGGAAACGUAGCAAGGGUAACCGGGCUCUGGCAGGUGCGCGAGGAGUCAUUAUU